This 433-nucleotide ribosomal RNA is filed under the name uncultured bacterium. RNAcentral's name for it is "partial 16S ribosomal RNA". It matches the Rfam family "Bacterial small subunit ribosomal RNA", at positions 29 to 507 of the family's 1533-position model. The record is from RNAcentral.
AACGAACGCUGGCGGCAUGCCUAACACAUGCAAGUCGAACGAGACCUUCGGGUUUGGUGGCGCACUGGUGCGUAACGCGUGGGGACCUGCCCUUAAGUUCGGAAUAACUCCUCGAAAAGGGUGCUAAUACCGGAUCAUGUCCUCGGUCCGACGGUUGAUCGCCUUUGGAUGGGCCCGAGUUGGAUUACCUUGUUGGUAGGGUAAAAGCCUACCAAGGCUACGAUACGUAACUGGGCUGUGAGGAUGCUCACCCACACUGGGACUGAGACACGGCCCGGACUCCUGCAGGAGGCGCGAGUGGGGAAUACUGCACUAUGGGCGGAAGCAUGAUCCAGCACUGACGCGUAAGUGAUGAAGGUCUUAGGGUUGUAAAGCUAUUUUAUACUGGACUAUAAUGACAUUACCGAGAGAAUAAGCACCGGCUAACUCCGUG